Molecule: ribosomal RNA, 301 nt
Filed under: uncultured bacterium
Lineage: Bacteria
Description: partial 16S ribosomal RNA
Rfam family: Bacterial small subunit ribosomal RNA
Source: RNAcentral
CAGCCGCCGCGGUAAUACGAAGGGUGCAAGCGUUAAUCGGAAUUACUGGGCGUAAAGCGUGCGCAGGCGGUGAGUUAAGUCUGCUGUGAAAUCCCCGGGCUCAACCUGGGAAUGGCAGUGGAUACUGGCUCGCUAGAGUGUGUCAGAGGAUGGUGGAAUUCCCGGUGUAGCGGUGAAAUGCGUAGAGAUCGGGAGGAACAUCAGUGGCGAAGGCGGCCAUCUGGGACAACACUGACGCUGAGGCACGAAAGCGUGGGGAGCAAACAGGAUUAGAUACCCCGGUAGUCCCUGUCUCUUAUAC